RNAcentral lists this ribosomal RNA (260 nucleotides) under uncultured bacterium. Its description in RNAcentral is "partial 16S ribosomal RNA". It matches the Rfam family "Bacterial small subunit ribosomal RNA", at positions 95 to 354 of the family's 1533-position model. The record is from RNAcentral.
UUGGCGGACGGGUGAGUAACGCGUGGGUAACCUGCCUUGCACUGGGGGAGUAACACUUAGAAAUAGGUGCUAAUACCGCAUAAGCGCACGGUCCUGCAUGGGACAGUGUGAAAAACUCCGGUGGUGCAAGAUGGACCCGCGUCUGAUUAGCUGGUUGGCGGGGUAAAGGCCCACCAAGGCGACGAUCAGUAGCCGGCCUGAGAGGGUGGACGGCCACAUUGGGACUGAGACACGGCCCAAACUCCUACGGGAGGCAGCAG